This 258-nucleotide small RNA is filed under the name Otolemur garnettii (small-eared galago). RNAcentral's name for it is "Metazoan signal recognition particle RNA (ENSOGAG00000031867.1)". Lineage: Eukaryota; Metazoa; Chordata; Mammalia; Primates; Galagidae. The record is from RNAcentral.
GCUGGGCGUUGUGGCCAGCGCCUGUGGUCCCAGCUACUUGGGAGGCAGAGGCAGGAUACUCACUUGAGCCCAGGAGUUGGAGGUUGCUGUGAGCUGUGAUGCCACAGCCCUCUAUCCAGGGGGAUAGCUUGAGGCUCUGUCUCAAAAAAAAAAACAAACAAAAAACAGAGUCUGGCUUUGUCACCCUGGAUAGAGAGUGCUGUGGUAUCAUAGCUCACAGCAACCUCAAACUCUUGGGCUUAAGCAAUUCUCUUGCCU